AGCUUGAAAAAAAAAAAAAAAACAACCCAGCAAGAUGGGAGCAGGGUGCUUUCCCUUCAGAAGGCCCUGCUCUGAGCGGCCCCUCUUCCCCGACCCACUCCUUCCAAGACGCAGUACUCGGCAUAGGACGCCCACCUGCCCGCCUUGCGCGGGGCUGACCUGGACAUCCCUGCCCGGGGCUCACACCCCUGCAGGACUGGGGGUAGAUGGAGCCAAAGAGGAUGUCCCCCAGGCUCUACAGACUCAGCAACUUGGGGUGGAGAAUGAGAGUGGAUCAGUCAUUGGAUUGAUGAGAAAAGUGUCGUUGAAAGAGACUACGGUUGAAGCCGGGCCACCGAACAACACAAGUAUUCACAGCACUGUUCACAGGCGCCAUAAAGGGGAAGCACUCCAGCCGUCCAUCGGCUGAUGAACGGGUGAACGAGACGUAGUGUGUCCAUCGCUAGGGAAUGCUAUCCAGCCUUAAAAAGGAGCGAGGCUCUGACACGGCACGACCUGGUGGACCUCGAGAACACUGCCGACUGAAAUACACCAGUCACUACAGGCCACACAGGGCUUCCCCGGCGGCUCAGCUGGUAAAGAG
This is a long non-coding RNA of Bos taurus (domestic cattle), 583 nucleotides long. Lineage: Eukaryota; Metazoa; Chordata; Mammalia; Artiodactyla; Bovidae. The record is from Ensembl.